UACGUAGGGUGCGAGCGUUGCCCGGAUUCACUGGGCGUAAAGGGUGCGCAGGCGGCCGUGUGUGUGAGGCGUGAAAGCCCGAUGCUUAACAUCGGAAUUGCACCUCAAACUACACGGCUAGAGCAUUGGAGAGGGUAGCGGAAUUCACGGUGUAGCAGUGAAAUGCGUAGAUAUCGUGAGGAACACCAGAGGCGAAGGCGGCUACCUGGACAAUUGCUGACGCUCAGGCACGAAAGCGUGGGGAGCAAAAGGG
RNAcentral lists this ribosomal RNA (253 nucleotides) under uncultured bacterium. RNAcentral's name for it is "partial 16S ribosomal RNA". It matches the Rfam family "Bacterial small subunit ribosomal RNA", at positions 524 to 776 of the family's 1533-position model. The record is from RNAcentral.